GGAGGUAUGGUGUAGCGGAUAGCAUCAGGGGCUUCGGAUCCCUGGACCCCGGUUCGAAUCCGGGUACCUCUGCCA
RNAcentral lists this transfer RNA (75 nucleotides) under Candidatus Poseidonia sp. RNAcentral describes it as "Poseidonia sp. tRNA-Arg". It matches the Rfam family "tRNA". Rfam says of the family: Transfer RNA (tRNA) molecules are approximately 80 nucleotides in length. The record is from RNAcentral. RNAcentral also lists the same sequence under 1 other name. Lineage: Archaea; Methanobacteriati; Thermoplasmatota; Candidatus Poseidoniia; Candidatus Poseidoniales; Candidatus Poseidoniaceae.